Molecule: ribosomal RNA, 605 nt
Filed under: uncultured euryarchaeote
Lineage: Archaea; Methanobacteriati; Methanobacteriota
Description: bacterial SSU rRNA
Rfam family: Archaeal small subunit ribosomal RNA
Source: RNAcentral
CCGUAGCGAACAGCUCAGUAACACGUGGCCAAGCUACCCUAUGGACGUGGACACCCUCGGGAAACUGAGGCUAAUCCGCGAUACGGCUCCCACGCUUGAAUGCGGGGAGCCGGAAACGCUCCGGCGCCAUAGGAUGCGGCUGCGGCCGAUUAGGUAGACGGUGGGGUAACGGCCCACCGUGCCGAUAAUCGGUACGGGAUGUGAGAGCAAAUAGCCCGGAGAUGGAAUCUGAGACAAGAUUCCAGGCCCUACGGGGCGCAGCAGGCGCGAAACCUUUACACUGCACGCCAGUGCGAUAAGGGGACCCCGAGUGCGAGGGCAUACAGUCCUCGCUUUUGUACACCGUAAGGAGGUGUACGAAUAAGGGCUGGGCAAGACCGGUGCCAGCCGCCGCGGUAAUACCGGCAGCCCGAGUGAUGGCCGCUGUUAUUGGGCCUAAAGCGUCCGUAGCCGGCCGAACAAGUCUGUCGGGAAAUCCAUCCGCCUAACGGAUGGGCGUCCGGCAGAAACUGUUCGGCUUGGGGCCGGAAGAUCCGAGGGGUACGUCCGGGGUAGGAGUGAAAUCCUGUAAUCCUGGACGGACCGCCGGUGGCGAAAGCGCCUCG